RNAcentral lists this ribosomal RNA (464 nucleotides) under uncultured bacterium. Its description in RNAcentral is "bacterial SSU rRNA". It matches the Rfam family "Bacterial small subunit ribosomal RNA", at positions 28 to 507 of the family's 1533-position model. The record is from RNAcentral.
GGUUAACGCUGGCGGCGUGCCUAACACAUGCAAGCCGAACGGUUCUAAGCGCGAGCUUAGGAUAGUGGCGAACGGGUGAGUAAAAGGUAGGAAUCUACCCCUUGGACGGAGAUAGCUACUGGAAACGGUAGGUAAACUUCGAUAAGCCCGAGAGGGGAAAGUGGUGAGACAGCCGAGGGAUGAGCCUACUCUCCAUCAGGUAGUUGGUGAGAUAAAAGCUUACCAAGCCGAUGACGGAUAACCGGUGUGAGAGCAUGAACGGUCACAAGGGCACUGAGAGACGGGCCCUACUCCUACGGGAGGCAGCAGUGGGGAAUCUUGGACAAUGGGCGAAAGCCUGAUCCAGCGACGCCGCGUGGAGGAAGAAGUCCUUCGGGAUGUAAACUUCUGAACUAGCCGAAUAAAAGGCCUGUGGACACACAGGAGAAGAAAGUAGGCUAGGAAAAGUCCCGGCUAACUACGUG